AUUGCUCCAACACGGCCAUCCAUCAUGUCACUAGGACUAACAACAUCUGCCCCAGCUCUGGCCUGAGAAACAGCUUGUUUACAUAGUUGAUGCACUGUUUCAUCAUUCAUUAUAACUCCAUCUUCUCUGACAAUACCAUCAUGCCCAUCAGAGGAAUAUGGAUCCAGAGCAACAUCAGUGUAAAUAACAAGAUCAGGAUAUCGAUCCUUCAACAACC
This 217-nucleotide unclassified non-coding RNA is filed under the name Hevea brasiliensis (rubber tree). Lineage: Eukaryota; Viridiplantae; Streptophyta; Magnoliopsida; Malpighiales; Euphorbiaceae. The record is from RNAcentral.